Long non-coding RNA from Chelonia mydas (Green sea turtle), 6715 nucleotides. RefSeq lists it as uncharacterized. NCBI's taxonomy places the organism in Eukaryota, Metazoa, Chordata, Testudines, Cheloniidae. The transcript is spliced from 3 exons. The record is from RefSeq and is a predicted model, not a curated record.
UUCUAGAUCAUUUCUUGCCUAACUUUUUUUUUUUCCUGAAGAAAUGUUGUUCCAGGGAGUGUCUGACUAGUUCUGCAGCUUGGCAAAAAAGCCAGACGUUACCUCAUAGCUGCGGCCAGACAGCCCAUUUCUAUGCCAAGCAACCGCUGCAGGAGCACACAGCACAGGGCCCUGCUUGAUUAGCACUUCUGCUGUUUCAAGAGUCCUGGAGUGUUUUGUUCAAGGUGGGCUGCUGAGUGGGUACUCUGUGUUCUUUUGUGCAAAUGUGCUUGCAGGCAGGGGGAGGCUUGGGAGGAGGUAGAGUUGGAGGGGGGACCAGGACACAAUAGAAGAGGGCUACAUUAAUAUUCUGCAUUCAUGUUAUCGUUGGGAAACAGGAUCUGUUUGUGGUGACCUGUGCAAAAAGCACACGUAGGACUGCAUCCUAAAGGUCAAAGCAAAUGAAAGAGAUGGGAAAACAAAGAGUUGUAAUGACAGAUCAGGUCAAACUGAAUUAAAUGCUUAAUUGUUUCCCUUGUGCCUCAGCAAAUGGCUUUCUUUAAAGCCACGGGGAUCUUUUCUUUUCAGCGAAAAUCAUCAAUUCAUCAGUGCGCUGGAAGAUGAAGAGUGUUUGCAAACAUUGCUGCCAAUAUAAUUUUCCUGUCUUCUGCCCCUUCCUGUUGCUUUACCUAGUGUACCUGUGUCUACACACUUUAUAAUUUAUGGGCCAAAUUCAGACCUGGGGUAAUCCCAUAGAAUUACACCUGCCUACACAUACUGAAUCUGGCCCCAUCUAUGUGCUUAACACCGUUUUUGGUUCAUUGUGUUGCUCACAAAAGUGAAGGACAAAUAGCACAAGCAUGGAGUAGGCUAAAGCUGUCCACCACACAGCUCUGCCAAGGCCCCUCCGUUCUAGACUGCAACACCCCCUGCUGUCACUGUCUCAGACUGACCUCUCCCAACGUACUUGACAUCGCUAGUCAUGCUGGCCUUGUGCCAGACUGGGCAGGGUUUGUAAAGCAGAUGAGAGAUCGACUCUCACACUUAUUUUACCUGGGCCUCAGUGUAGAGAAAUGGAAAAAUAGUGUCAUUGGCUCACUGCGCCACACAUUGACUUAUUUUCUCUAGAUGCAAAUAACAUUGGAUCCUGCUUUCCGCUUGGACGAAAUAAAACAGAAAAUGUUUUACGUCAGAAUCUUGCCAAUGGGGUAAUAAGUAACAAUAACAAUAAUAAUAAUUAAUUAAUAAACGUUUGCGUUUUUGUCUGGGGAUCUCAAUGCAUUUUACAAAAUCAGUAAAUUUAGCCUCACACAGCCUCUAUGAAUUUGGUUGGUAUCUUUCGACCCAUUUUACAGAUGUGGAAACUGAGGGAUGGAGAGGUAAAGUGACUUGGCCAGCGUCACCUAGGAAAUCAGUGGCAGGGACAAGAAUUCUAUAACUCCUGACUCCUGGUCCUGUGUUUUAAUCACAAGGCCUCACUUCCUCGUGUAAGAGGAAUGAAUCAACUCCAGUUCAAUAAGAAUCCUCUUCAGUCUUCAACCAAACCUGAAUCUUUUCUUUGUGAAUGUGGAUUAGUUUAUUGUCUUGUGCACCUCUGCUCUGCUGGGUUCUAGCUGACAAGUGCAAGUUAAAACACCUGGUUGAAAGGUCACAAUCCAACAAAAUGCAUUUUUGGUACAGCCAAAUGCAAGGUAAUACACCUGGGAACAAAGAAUGCAGGUUAUAACUAGAGGAUGAGUGACUCUGUCGUGGAAAGCAGUGACUCAGAAAAGGAAUGAGGGAUUGUCAUAGCUAAUCACCUCCUCGUGAGCACAAGGCUGUGGCAAAAGGAGCUGAUUGGUUGUUGAAUGUAUAAAAAGGGAACUAUCUAAUACAGUUAGGGAAAUUAUCUUGGCUCUGUACACUGCAUAGGUAAGACUGCUACUAGAAUACUAUGUCCAGUUCUGGUGUCCACAUUUCAAGAAGGAUGUGGAAAUAUUGGAGAGAGUUCAAAGGAGGGCCACAAAAUGAUCCAAGGGCUAGACAACAAGCUUUAUGAUGGGAGGCUUAGGGACCUCAAUCUAGUCAGUUUAUUGAAGAGAAGGAUGAGAAGUUGAUCAUUGUUUAUAGGUACUUACGCAUGGACAAGGUAUCUGAUAGAAUGGGUCUGGGGGUGCAGGGUGGUUCAGUCUUACAGACAAAGGUAUAACCAGAAGCAAUGGCUGGAAGUUGAAGUUAGAUAAAUUCAACCUUGAAAUAAGACACCAUUUCCUAGCAGUGAGGGUAAUUAAACAUUGGACCGGCUUAUCAUGGGCGGUGGGGCCUCAGCAGCCGUCUUGUUGAGUGUUUAAAAUGUGAUAAGCUAUCUUUCUAAAAGACAAGCUGUAAUCUAGCUUCUGAGAGAAAUUCUUCAGCCUGUGUGUUCGGGGGGAUGGGUGAGUGCUCUUGGAUGGUCAUGGUAGUUCCUUCUGGCCAUGGAGUUUGUGCAUCUGUGAAUGCCCCUGUUCAUUCCCUUCCUUUAUGGGCCGGGGGAGAACAAGAUGGCCUGCAUUGCCCUCAACAUGCUCAGAACACUUCAGCUUUGCAUUAAGACAAUGACUGUAAUCAAAUUUCAUGCUUCAGACAGUUGCCUGCAGGGGUCAGGAAGGAUCUUUUUUCACCAAUGCAAAAUUAGCCAGGUGGAUUCUGUGGGAGUGGGGUUCCCCCUUCUUCUGAAGCAUCAGAGAUGCCCACAACUGAAAAGAGGACACUAGACAGGCUGCACCAGUGUGGUGAGGUGGUACAAAGAAUCCUCUUUCUCAGAUGCCUGGCUGGUAGGUCUUGCUCACAUGGUCAGGGUCCAGCUGAUGGCCAGAGUUGGGAUCAGGAAAGAAUUUCCCCCAGGUCAGAUUGGCGGAGACCUUGGGAGGGUUUUGCCUUCUUCUGCAGAAUGAAGAUCAUUUGCUAGGAUCAUCUGGGCAUGCCUCACCUAAUCUAUUCCCUGCCAUUGCAGCAGCUACUGGUGGCACCUUGGUCUGUCCUGUUUUCUGCAUGUGGCACACAACUGGAUGAAAUUUAAUGGAGGUUAAACUCGAUGAUGUAAUGGUCCCUUUUGGCCUUGAACCCUAUCAAAGUAUGUAAAGCACUAAAGUCCCACGACAGCAGCAGGGUUGUCUCCCUCCCAUCUCACAAGAAGAGAUUCUGAUACACAGAUAUAUUCGGUUUCCACAGUGCCCUUGCCUCCUGCACACACUCCCACACCAUUAUAUUUUCUGAGGCUCAAUGCUGCGCACUGUCUCUUCAUGGUAAAUCUAAUGGAGUCAUUCAGAAAUGCCAAGAAAAGACAGCCUAGCAGAGACACAUCACCUGCAAACAGGGCCCGAGAUCUACUGAGACAAAACGGUUUUCAAAAACCCAACAUGAAGACUGUACAAUGAAAACCCACCUCUGAUCUUUGCCUGCAUCUCCCCAAGCAGCCGAAGAAACACCUUUCAUGCUGAGUUUUUGUCUUUUUCUUUCUGUCUUCUGUGAAUAUUUUUAUCCUGAUUUUUUUUUGUCAUCCCAUGCAGCAAAAGAAACUGCUCAUCUUUGCUCUGCCUAUUUGAUGUGGUAGAAAAGCCAAAGAGACAAUCUGUAAAAGUGCUUUCUCCGUUUGCUAGAUUUUUUUUUCCUAUACAGACUGUGAGUCGGAGAAAGAGGUCAGGGACUCAGGUUUCUCUUUGUUUUUUGUGCCCAGCUGCUGUUCCUGUGUUAAAGCGCGAGGUCCAGAUAAAUAAGGGAAUGGAAACAGAGGCAAUCUAUUCAAAAUAAAAGGUCUGUCCCCAAAAGUCUGGGGAGAUAGAGGAUCUAUUGUGCCCUGGGCAGUAUUCAAGGAAUCUUUUGCAAUCUUGAUGCUGGAGCUACGAUACCCAGUGACUUACUGUGCCCUUACCAGAGGGAUCAUCCAAGAUCUGAGCUGCUUCACAAGGAUCCCAGCUUAAGUCUUAUUUGAGUGCCACUCUGCCGGGGACCUUGUCCAAGGGGAGGAGGAGCUCCUUGCGACUAUCCAGAGCCACCCAGAGUAACUCAGACAGUAUCAACCUGAGCCCCAAAAGGAGGGCAGUGACAGUGCUGAUGAAUGUGGCAAGGAUGAUAGAGGUAGACCUUGGAGAUGCAGAGGAGGCUUUGGAUGGAUAAGAGAGAGCUCUGAGCUGUGAAAGUCAGACCUAGAUUGGAACCUUCCCGUAGUCUGAGAGUACUGGAAUCUAUUCUUUAGGCUUUGACAAUUGUCAUGAUAGGGGCCAACUGUAAUAUUCAGAUCUGGAGCCAAAAUUUCCCCAAAAGCCUGGGGGGGGGGUUGGUUUGGGCCCACCUGUAAUGUAGAUGGGGGGGAGGGAUAGCUCAGUGGUUUGAGCAUUGGCCUGCUAAACCCAGGGUUGUGAGUUCAAUCCUUGAGGGGGCCAUUUAGGGAUCUGGGGCAAAAAAAAUUGGAGAUUGGUCCUGCUUUGAGCAGGGGGUUGGACUAGAUGACCUCCUGAGGUCCCUUCCAACUCUGACAUUCUAUGAUGACUUUUCCUGGAAAUUAUAGCUAAGGAAAGGGAAAUCUGCAGAUGCCUGGGUCAAAUCUCAUGUUUCAGAGCAAAAGGAGCUGAUCGCUCCAGAGGUCAAGAAGGAACUCUCUGCUCCACCCCUUUGCAUAACUGGCUGGAAACAUUAUGGGUUAGGCUUUUAUCCUUGCUGUUCCUCAGAAGCAUCUGGGUAUUGUCCACUGCCCCAGAGUCAGGCUAUUGGACUAGAUGGGCUGAUGAGGUAGAGGAGUGUCUCUGGCAGGCCCCUCCUGCUUUUGAUGAGGUCAAACACUAUUAUGGGCACUCACUCCGUUUGUUCGAAAGGGAUCAAGGAAAGCAACUGCACUGUUGUCAGUUAAUAAGACAGCUGGGCUUUGUCUCCAUGCGUGAAAGCCUGGUGUGGAAUGGACUGAUUUAGCAAGGGAGUAAGCAAUUAUGAGAACAGAGAAGCUGGUUACAUCCAAUGUAUAAAGCAGGAGUGGCCAAACUUACUGACCCUCCAAACCACAUACAGUAAUCUUCAGAAGUUCAAGAGCCUCAAGACACGCACAAGGCACCACGUGGCGGCACUUGCUGGGGCACGGAGCUAAAGCCCUUAGACUCUCCUCCUCCCCCCGCAGGGAAGAAGCCCCUAGUCCCACCACCCCACUGCAGGGCAGAAGCCCUGAGUUCCCCUCUCCCCCCCCUCCACCCCCCGCCCCGCAGUCUGGAAGGAAGAGAAUUAUGUGGGGGGCAUGGGAGGCUCCGCAAGUCGCACUUUAAUUGUAAUAGAGUCACGAGCCACAGUUUGGCCAUGGCUGGUAUAAAGAGCUUUGAAAACCAAGAGAGCAAUUUGAAUGUGGGCUUUGUAGCUGGCUAAGGGUAGGGUGUGUACCAGCUUUCUUGAGUGGGAUGUGAGUCUUGCCACAGAUUUCUACAUCAGUGGGAGCUGCAAGUUUUCAGCACCUUUGAAAAAUCAGGCCAGUUUUUAGUCUCCUAAAUACGGAUCUAGGGGCCUAAUUUUAGACAGCCACGUUUGAAAAUAUUGGCCCUAGAACACAGAGUUCAGGCUGAAUUUGAAGGGUGGCUCUCACAUGGGUUCUUCCAUCACUACCAUGUGAGAUUAGUGCUUGCAUCCAAUAGGCACUGAGCCACAACCAGCAAACACAUCCAGUCUGCCAGCUGGACUUCAACCAGACAUCCAAAGGUGAAAUCUUAUCUCCAUGCUUGAGAGAACACAGGAGGAGGUGCAGAUGGUCUCUAUAAACCAUUGCAGGAAACAAAGUACACUCGAUAAGGGGAAAGGGAAGAAGAUGACGAAAAUGGCUAAUGCCAACGAUUGUGUUAAAGACUUUGACCGUGCCUUAUGGGAGACUGCAUAGUUAAAAUAUAAAUAAACUGACUUUAAAACAUCCAGGCUGGAACAGUAGCUGCUGAGCUGAAUUUAAAUCACCUUCUGUAGCUGUUGGAAUGUUUAGCACUGUAGGGGAGAGGGGUGUUUUUUUUUUCCUAUUACAUAAUUUUCUUUUCAAAUCUCUGGAGCAGCAUAUUUAAUUUAUUUUUUUUUAAAAAAGCCACCUGAGAUGCCCACACCUCUUUUCAAUAUUUUACAAGUAACAUGAAAGACGACAUAGGUUCGAGAAGGGGAGCUAAUAACCCAAAUUGUCCUUGAUAGCCCUCUUCAAGCAGUCCUUUGCCUUUAUCUGAAAACCUGAACAUUUUCAAAGAAAAAAUGUUGGUGAAAACAAAAUAUUUAUCAAAAAGUUUCCACAUGUGUGCAGGGGGUGCACCUGGGAAAGGGUGUGUAAUUAUUUCCUAGUUCUAAACUAUCCUCUUCCAAUGGACUUAUACAUAUUAUGUGAUCGACCAUGCAACCAUUGUGUUGGCAAGUACUUAUAAGAGAAGUCCCAUUGACUUGAGUGGGACUACUUUUAUGAGUAACUGAUAACAAACAACUGCAACUCAGCAGCACAAGGUCUAUGUACCAUAUAAGUUCUAUUAUGAGGACUUAACUGAUGCAUUGGCUUUGUUCUGAUCCCCGGCUAAGAAGGAAUGUCACCCCAUUCUGACCAAGAGCUGCGCCAUCUAAAUCUAUAUAUAGUUCAGCAUCUUUAGAUCAGCCCUUGACAAUGUUAGAUUUAGUAUUAAUUUCAUAGUAUGUUUAUGCCUCCAGCGGAUGCAAGACAAUCCUAAAGCCCUUUUCCCCCUUCCAAAAUGGUAUAUGAGACAAAUAAAUCUACAGGACUCUCUUA